GAAAUGCUGCAGAGACACAGCCGGAAACAGAGCUGGCCAGCUCACGCCUGACCCACCCUCAUUCUAAGCAUAGGGUCUGCCUCUGAAGAGCUAAAGACUUCCUGAAACUUCAAAAUUAGUGCUUUUAUUUGCUUGUCCUGGUGAAACCGUAGGCAAAGGCCAUCCUCCUCCCAUUGACAGUUUAGAGUGGGCAGAAACAACCACGGUUACCCUAGAAGUAAAUCCAGAGCUGUGGGACGCUGGAGGACAAAACCAAUCUUCCAGGGAAGCCGAGGAGAAGUCAUGCCUUCAAAAGAGGAAGAAACUGACAUCUGGAGAAGUUGAAGUAAUUUGCACAAAGAUUCACUUGGCUAAUGGAGUUUUGCUCUGUCACCCAGGCUGGAGUGCAAUGGCGCGAUCUCGCCUCACUGCAACCUCCACCUCCCGAGUUCAAGAGAUUCUCCUGCCUCAGCCUCCCAAGGGCUGGAAAGUUCAAGAUCCAGGCCUCAGAAGAUUUGGGGUUUGGUGAGGGCCAUCUUCUCACUGUAGCCUUACAUGGUGGAAGAGGUAAGGCAGCUCUCUGGAACCUCUUUUAUAAGGGCACUAAUCCCGUUCAUGAGAACCCAGCCCUUAUGACCUCAUCACCUCCUAAAUUCUCUACCUCGUAACACCAUCGCUUUGACAAUCAGAUUUCAACAUAUGAAUUUGUGGGAGUCACCAGCAUUGAGACUAUAGCAACCCCUUAUUAGAAAUCAUUCAUGAGGAACUGAAACUGUUAGGAAACCGCUAUGUAAAUGCUGGGAAACAAAGUCAGAUAAAUAAUGCUGAUAAUUACCUGACUGCUUUUGGAAUUGUCCUUUUUUGUGGCAACUGCUGAACAUGAGACUACAUCAUUGUCAGCUGAUUGCAGAAGAACCACUAUGAUAUUAUAAUGGGGUCCUGACUCCAUGACUGUGUAAUUCAUGGCUUUCUAACAGUUUAUUAUUGACCUAACUUUGCAGCUCCCCUAGAUCCCCUAACUCCACCAUCUUGGGUUGCAACCAAUGACCUGUUAUUGCAAAACAGGUAAUCUCACUUAGAUAGGUAUUAAUCAGAGGGGCUUCAUUUCCAGAGUUCAUUUCAAUGGUUUUCAACUCAUUUCUAGAGUUUAAUAUCAGUAGCCCUUUCUCUUCCAUAGGAGGGAGAUGAACCAUCCUGUUUAUUCAAUAAUCAGUGAAAGCGUGGCUUUAAUGUCUCUUCCACUCCUUUCUAGUUCAGGUCUUUCUUAACUUGACGGAGAUAGCUUGGGCCAGGGAGGGCAGAGUGAAGAUGAGAUGGCAAAAAAAAUGUGUGAACAGUUUUGAUCAGCAGCAUUGACUCUGUGCUAAAUACUGUGCUCAGCUCUUUGGAUGUUAUUUCAUUGAAAUGGAAAGAACAGUGUAAAGUUGUCUUGUGAGGCACACUUUCCUAUUGAGGAAAUAAAAGCAUUAAAUAACUUGCCCCCAAAUACAAAGCUAUUAGAAUUGAAACAAAGACUUGAGCCCAGGAUCUAUCUAAUUUCAAGGUCCUUGUUUUUUUCUACUACAUUUCUCUUUGAGAUACAGUUACUCAAAGGUGUCCAAACUUCAGUUAAUGUCAACCUCUGCCUCACUCUGGUCCUGGUGCCUUUCCCAUGUUCCUGAGAAGAUCAUGUGGCACACUUCUCUAAAUGUCUCUGUGCCAUACCUCUUGGGAUCAAAAGGCCAUUCCAAUAAUUCUUCUGCAUUUCUUAAUGUAUGCUCAGGUGGCCCUGGUUUGCAUUUAGAGAAAUGAAGCUAAGACCUUGGUGAUAACUAAAUAUUUAUAUCUAUUUUUUGAUUAUGUGCUUAUAUUUAAUUAAGUGGGUGCCUACUGUUGUGAAAAUACUUUUGAAUACAAUUCUGAAGUUGUGCCAGGGAACUCUGACAAUGGGUAUGCUGGGAGCUGUCUGAUUUCCUUGUCCUAGGUUCUUACUCAGCUUUUCUAGACAACUCAUACAAUGCAGUAGAAAAAGAAUUCUUUAUUCCCACUGCCUUUCCUUAGCCCUUCUUCAGAGCAGGGGAAGUGUGACUAUAGCUUUAAAUAGUUUAAAUACUCCUUCAAAUAUGGCAAAUAAAACAGUAUAAAUGAAAAAGAAG
This 2114-nucleotide long non-coding RNA is filed under the name Pongo abelii (Sumatran orangutan). Its description in RNAcentral is "lincRNA". Lineage: Eukaryota; Metazoa; Chordata; Mammalia; Primates; Hominidae. The record is from RNAcentral.